Molecule: ribosomal RNA, 387 nt
Filed under: uncultured Leptolinea sp.
Lineage: Bacteria; Bacillati; Chloroflexota; Anaerolineae; Anaerolineales; Anaerolineaceae
Description: bacterial SSU rRNA
Rfam family: Bacterial small subunit ribosomal RNA
Source: RNAcentral
UUUGACAUGCAAGUGGUAGGAAGCCGAAGGUGACGACCCUUCGGGGAGCUUGCACAGGUGCUGCAUGGCUGUCGUCAGCUCGUGUCGUGAGAUGUUCGGUUAAGUCCGCUAACGAGCGCAACCCUCGCUGUGUGUUAUAUGUGUCACACGGGACUGCCGGUCUUAAGCCGGAGGAAGGUGGGGAUGAUGUCAAGUCAGCAUGGCCUUUAUAUCCUGGGCUACACACACGCUACAAUGGCCAACACAAUAGGUUGCUAAGCCGCGAGGUGGCGCCAAUCCAUAAAGUUGGUCUCAGUUCAGAUUGUAGGCUGCAACCCGCCUGCAUGAAGAUGGAGUUGCUAGUAACCGCAGGUCAGCUAUACUGCGGUGAAUACGUUCCCGGGGCUU